CUGCUGUAGAAAUACCUGUUUCUCAUUCCCUUAGGAGCAGGAAUGCAUCUGUAGCAUGCUUGUAAAAAAGAAAUUCUUGAGGCUGCCAGUAUUAUAGCAAAGAUUAUACAGUAGUUUACAUCUCCAACCAAA
Molecule: small nucleolar RNA, 132 nt
Organism: Jaculus jaculus (lesser Egyptian jerboa)
Lineage: Eukaryota; Metazoa; Chordata; Mammalia; Rodentia; Dipodidae
Source: Ensembl